RNAcentral lists this ribosomal RNA (873 nucleotides) under uncultured eukaryote. Its description in RNAcentral is "SSU rRNA". It matches the Rfam family "Eukaryotic small subunit ribosomal RNA", at positions 570 to 1469 of the family's 1831-position model. The record is from RNAcentral.
GCAGCCGCGGUAAUUCCAGCUCCAAUAGCGUAUAUUAAAGUUGUUGCAGUUAAAAAGCUCGUAGUUGGAUCUCGGGUCCGGGCUCGCGGUCCACCUCGCGGUGGUUACUGCCCGUCCCGACCUACCUACCGGUUUCCCCUUGGUGCUCUUAACUGAGUGUCUCGGGUGGCCGGAACGUUUACUUUGAAAAAAUUAGAGUGUUCAAAGCAGGCGCUUCGCCUGAAUAAUGUUGCAUGGAAUAAUGGAAUAGGACCUCGGUUCUAUUUUGUUGGUUUUCGGAACUCGAGGUAAUGAUUAAGAGGGACAGACGGGGGCAUUCGUAUGAUGGUGUUAGAGGUGAAAUUCUUGGAUCGCCGUCAGACGAACUACUGCGAAAGCAUUUGCCAAGAAUGUUUUCAUUAAUCAAGAACGAAAGUCAGAGGUUCGAAGACGAUCAGAUACCGUCCUAGUUCUGACCAUAAACGAUGCCGACUAGCGAUCCGCCGGAGUUGUUUCAAUGACCCGGCGGGCAGCUUCCGGGAAACCAAAGUCUUUGGGUUCCGGGGGAAGUAUGGUUGCAAAGCUGAAACUUAAAGGAAUUGACGGAAGGGCACCACCAGGAGUGGAGCCUGCGGCUUAAUUUGACUCAACACGGGAAAGCUUACCCGGCCCGGACACCGUAAGGAUUGACAGAUUGAGAGCUCUUUCUUGAUUCGGUGGGUGGUGGUGCAUGGCCGUUCUUAGUUGGUGGAGCGAUUUGUCUGGUUAAUUCCGAUAACGAACGAGACUCUAGCCUAUUAAAUAGUUCGCCGAUUUCGAUCUGUCGGCGUUAACUUCUUAGAGGGACAAGUGGCUUUUAGCCACGCGAGAUUGAGCAAUAACAGGUCUGUGAUG